UACGUAGGGGGCUAGCGUUGUCCGGAUUUAUUGGGCGUAAAGCGUCCGUAGCCGGCCUUACAAGUCCUCCGUUAAAUCCAGCUGCUUAACAGAUGGGCUGCGGAGGAUACUAUAAGACUAGGAGGCAGGAGAGGCAAGCGGUACUCAGUGGGUAGGGGUAAAAUCCGUUGAUCCAUUGAAGACCACCAGUGGCGAAGGCGGCUUGCCAGAAUGCGCUCGACGGUGAGGGAUGAAAGCUGGGGGAGCAAACCGG
Molecule: ribosomal RNA, 253 nt
Filed under: uncultured bacterium
Lineage: Bacteria
Description: partial 16S ribosomal RNA
Rfam family: Bacterial small subunit ribosomal RNA
Source: RNAcentral